This 277-nucleotide long non-coding RNA is filed under the name Populus tremula. RNAcentral's name for it is "long non-coding RNA (PTRE_LNC002696)". The record is from RNAcentral. Lineage: Eukaryota; Viridiplantae; Streptophyta; Magnoliopsida; Malpighiales; Salicaceae.
CCAUAAAUUGUAGUAGUCAAUCUCUCACACGGGUAACAAAAGGUUUCGGGGAUUCUCGUUUUGAAAAAUAUGUUGAGGUUGUAAUAGAGCAGAUGAGACUGCUAUUGUUUUUUUGUUUUUUAGGGUUUUAAAUUUGAGAAUUUAAAUCCCCAUAUUUGAGUGCGGGAUUAUACUGGUGAUGUUACAGAGAGGGAGAUCGUGGUGUGGGGAAGAGUGAGUUUUUUUAAAGAAGGUGGUGGUUGUUUUUAGUAGGGGUGUUCAAAAUAACCGAUUAACC